CAGUAGCCGCGGUAAUACGAAGGGUGCAAGCGUUAAUCGGAAUUACUGGGCGUAAAGCGUGCGUAGGCGGUUUGUUAAGUCUGCUGUGAAAUCCCCGGGCUCAACCUGGGAAUGGCAGUGGAUACUGGCAAGCUAGAGUGUGUCAGAGGAUGGUGGAAUUCCCGGUGUAGCGGUGAAAUGCGUAGAGAUCGGGAGGAACAUCAGUGGCGAAGGCGGCCAUCUGGGACAACACUGACGCUGAGGCACGAAAGCGUGGGGAGCAAACAGGAUUAGAUACCCCCGUAGUCACUGUCUCUUAUAC
Molecule: ribosomal RNA, 301 nt
Filed under: uncultured bacterium
Lineage: Bacteria
Description: partial 16S ribosomal RNA
Rfam family: Bacterial small subunit ribosomal RNA
Source: RNAcentral